Molecule: long non-coding RNA, 1144 nt
Organism: Lontra canadensis (Northern American river otter)
Lineage: Eukaryota; Metazoa; Chordata; Mammalia; Carnivora; Mustelidae
Exons: 5
Source: RefSeq, a predicted model, not a curated record
GUAACUUUGUCAAAUUCUCUUUUCCUUACAUGGAUGUAAUUCUAGAAUCUCAUUACAUGGUGUAAUUAUGCAGUUAUUUUUGUCUUUUUAGCAAAUGAACAAUUUGAGUUUGAACUUUAGAGUUUAUGUAUUAACCAUUAGGUGUUAGAUUGAUUUCCUGGUAGUAUAAUUGCUUGGUGUUUGUGCAGGAGUGCAAGAAAGGAAUUUGAAUACCAGCUUUUAGGAAAUAAAUUGUACACAUUAAGUUUACAGUUACUUCUUUCACUUUUGUUAUUUUUCUUUUGUGUUUAUUAUUUACUUGAUACUCCAUGAAGUCCCCAAAUUUUAUUGUCCUACAAGAUUUCUCUUAAAAUCUUUGUGUGAUGAUUUUGUGUUCAUUUAUUUGUUUUCUUGAUUCUGUCCAGAGUGUCAGCACUAGGAGAGUACGGAUCUUAUCAUUUAGUGAUUUGUCUUCAUUUUAUAUUACAUCCUCAUUAAAUGUUUGUUUAGUGAAUUAAUGACACCAGCUGAGGGCAACACACGGUUGUUGACAUGAGAAUAUACAACAAAUAAAAUAUGGUCCUUGCCCUCUUGGGAUUUAGAGUUUAGUGGUUUUACAGAAGCAAAGUGUAAGACCAGUUGGUAGUAAGGAAGGGUAUAGGAAAUGUUCUGAAAACCUAGAAUCAAGUAUUCAUUUACACUGGGAAGACUGGGAAGAAUUCGCUAAGAUGAUAACUUUUGAGCAGGUCACAAAGGGCCUAUGAAUGAAUUGUGAAGAAUUAUAUCAUUGUUACAUUUGGAAAGAGCAUAGGAGGGUGAAAGAAAACAUGGAUGAAGCUUCCUGAAUUUCAGCUUCUGGGAUGAAUCAAGUUCAGAGACUAGGAACUGCUGGUGUGUCAGUAUUUCCUCUCAGCUCCACUAUGAAUGAGCAUCUGAUCUGGGACAGAAGUUGAGAAUAUAGAUCCUGGAAUUGGAGUAACUAUCAUGCAGGCAUGAAGAUCCAAGUCAUACCUCUAGACUCGCUGUUACUUUGAACAAUAAACAUCUUACUCGUGUUAACAACUGUUUGUGACGUUUCUGUUACGUGUUGUCAAAAUAAUUUUCUUUUAAUUAGUUUCAGAGGCAGAAUUUAGUGUUUCAUCAGUCGCAUAUAACACCCAGUGCU